GACGAACGCUGGCGGCGUGCCUAAUACAUGCAAGUCGAACGCAGUGGGGACGGGUGAGUAACACGUGGGUAACCUCCCAUCAGAGGGGAUAACACUUGGAAACUGGUGCUAAACCGAUACUGAUGGAUGGACCCGCGGUGCAUUAGCCAGUUGGUGGGGGAACGGCUCACCAAGGCCACGAUGCAUAGCUGGCCUGAGAGGGUGAUCAGCCACACUGGGACUGAGACACGGCCCAGACUCCUACGGGAGGCAGCAGUAGGGAAUAUUCGGCAAUGGGCGAAAGCCUGACCGAGCAACGCCGCGUGUGUGAAGAAGGUUUUCGGAUCGUAAAACUCUGUCGUUAGAGAAGCGGUAUCUAACCAGAAAGCAACGGCUAACUACGUGCCAGCAGCCGCGGUAAUAC
Molecule: ribosomal RNA, 403 nt
Filed under: uncultured bacterium
Lineage: Bacteria
Description: partial 16S ribosomal RNA
Rfam family: Bacterial small subunit ribosomal RNA
Source: RNAcentral